This 426-nucleotide ribosomal RNA is filed under the name uncultured bacterium. RNAcentral's name for it is "partial 16S ribosomal RNA". It matches the Rfam family "Bacterial small subunit ribosomal RNA", at positions 354 to 796 of the family's 1533-position model. The record is from RNAcentral.
GUUAGGAAUCUUCCACAAUGGGGGCAACCCUGAUGGAGCAACACCGCGUGCUGGAUGAAGGCCUUCGGGUCGUAAACAGCUUUUGUAUACGAAGAAUAUGACGGUAAUAUACGAAUAAGGGUCGGCUAACUACGUGCCAGCAGCCGCGGUCAUACGUAGGACCCAAGCGUUAUCCGGAGUGACUGGUCGUAAAGAGUUGCGUAGGCGGCUUAUUAAGCGAGUAGUGAAAUCUGGUGGCUCAACCAUCAACACAGUGCUCGAACUGAUAGGCUUGAGAAUGGUAGAGGUAGUUGGAAUUUCUUGUGUAGGAGUGAAAUCCGUAGAUAUAAGAAGGAACACCAAUGGCGUAGGCAGACUACUGGACCAUUUCUGACGCUGAGGCACGAAAGCGUGGGGAGCGAACCGGAUUAGAUACCCUAGUAGUCC